RNAcentral lists this ribosomal RNA (492 nucleotides) under uncultured bacterium. Its description in RNAcentral is "partial 16S ribosomal RNA". It matches the Rfam family "Bacterial small subunit ribosomal RNA", at positions 29 to 507 of the family's 1533-position model. The record is from RNAcentral.
AGUGAACGCUGGCGGUAGGCCUAACACAUGCAAGUCGAACGGCAGCACAGUAAGAGCUUGCUCUUACGGGUGGCGAGUGGCGGACGGGUGAGGAAUACAUCGGAAUCUACUUUUUCGUGGGGGAUAACGUAGGGAAACUUACGCUAAUACCGCAUACGACCUACGGGUGAAAGUAGGGGAUCUUCGGACCUUGCGCGAUUGAAUGAGCAGAUGUCGGAUUAGCUAGUUGGCGGGGUAAAGGCCCACCAAGGCGACGAUCCGUAGCUGGUCUGAGAGGAUGAUCAGCCACACUGGAACUGAGACACGGUCCAGACUCCUACGGGAGGCAGCAGUGGGGAAUAUUGGACAAUGGGCGCAAGCCUGAUCCAGCCAUACCGCGUGGGUGAAGAAGGCCUUCGGGUUGUAAAGCCCUUUUGUUGGGAAAGAAAAGCAGCAGGUUAAUACCCCGCUGUUCUGACGGUACCCAAAGAAUAAGCACCGGCUAACUUCGUG